GAGCUUGUAGCUUAGCCUGGCUAGAGCACUGGUCUUAUAAACCAGAGGUCCGGGGUUCAAAUCCCCGCAAGCUCA
RNAcentral lists this transfer RNA (75 nucleotides) under Candidatus Woesearchaeota archaeon. RNAcentral describes it as "tRNA-Ile". It matches the Rfam family "tRNA". From Rfam's summary of the family: Transfer RNA (tRNA) molecules are approximately 80 nucleotides in length. Their secondary structure includes four short double-helical elements and three loops (D, anti-codon, and T loops). Further hydrogen bonds mediate the characteristic L-shaped molecular structure. tRNAs have two regions of fundamental functional importance: the anti-codon, which is responsible for specific mRNA codon recognition, and the 3' end, to which the tRNAs corresponding amino acid is attached (by aminoacyl-tRNA synthetases). tRNAs cope with the degeneracy of the genetic code in two manners: having more than one tRNA (with a specific anti-codon) for a particular amino acid; and 'wobble' base-pairing, i.e. permitting non-standard base-pairing at the 3rd anti-codon position. The record is from RNAcentral. Lineage: Archaea; Nanobdellati; Candidatus Woesearchaeota.